GUGCUCACUUUGACAGUACAUGUACUAAAAUUGGGUUGAUACAGAGAAAAUUAUCAGUGUGGCUUCUGCUCAGGGAUGACAUGCAAAUUUGUGAAGUGUUCUGUAUUUUU
Nycticebus coucang (slow loris) is the source of this 110-nucleotide small nuclear RNA. The record is from RefSeq and is a predicted model, not a curated record. NCBI's taxonomy places the organism in Eukaryota, Metazoa, Chordata, Mammalia, Primates, Lorisidae.